UACGUAGGCAGCAAGCGUUGUUCGGAGUUACUGGGCGUAAAGGGUGUGUAGGCGGUUGGAUAAGUGUGGUGUGAAAUCUCCCGGCUCAACUGGGAGGGUGCGCUACAAACUGUCUGACUCGAGUGUGGGAUGGGUAAGUGGAAUUCCUGGUGUAGCGGUGAAAUGCGCAGAUAUCAGGAGGAACACCGGUGGCGAAGGCGGAUCUCUGGGCCUUACCUGACGCUGAGGCGCGAAAGCUAGGGGAGCAAACAGG
RNAcentral lists this ribosomal RNA (253 nucleotides) under uncultured bacterium. Its description in RNAcentral is "partial 16S ribosomal RNA". It matches the Rfam family "Bacterial small subunit ribosomal RNA", at positions 524 to 776 of the family's 1533-position model. The record is from RNAcentral.